GCGGGUGUGGUGGAAUUGGUAGACACGCCAGAUUUAGGAUCUGGUGGCGCAAGCUGUGGAAGUUCGAGUCUUCUCACCCGCACCA
RNAcentral lists this transfer RNA (85 nucleotides) under Magnetococcales bacterium. Its description in RNAcentral is "tRNA-Leu". It matches the Rfam family "tRNA". Rfam says of the family: Transfer RNA (tRNA) molecules are approximately 80 nucleotides in length. Their secondary structure includes four short double-helical elements and three loops (D, anti-codon, and T loops). Lineage: Bacteria; Pseudomonadati; Pseudomonadota; Magnetococcia; Magnetococcales. The record is from RNAcentral.